This 4192-nucleotide long non-coding RNA is filed under the name Homo sapiens (human). Its description in RNAcentral is "long non-coding RNA NONHSAT152890.1". The record is from RNAcentral. Lineage: Eukaryota; Metazoa; Chordata; Mammalia; Primates; Hominidae.
CAGUGGGACCGAGCCUCUCUCUCUCUCUCUCUCUCUCUCUCUCUAUCUCUCUCUCUCUCUUUUUUUUCCCCCGGCAGAGAGAGGAAAACACGCGAGUGCACACACGGUGAUAUCUUGCGGGUGAUGAAUAUGAUAAUUGGACAAGGGACUUCGGGACGACUGGAUCGCCGCGCCUGGGCCGGAGCGAGCCAUCUGCGGGCACUAUGCAAAGCGGGAGACGGCGCGAGCGGCGCCCGGCUCACACUAGCUCUUCCAGGACGCAUGAGGCUGGGAGCAGAAAUAAUCAACAUGCCCAUUAGAUACAGGACGGAAUAAUGCUUCUAUUGGUUGGGUCCCUUCGACGCUGGUCAGACCAAUGAAACCACAGGACAAAGAGUUCUCUUCAAAAGGGAACAACAAGAAGGAGAGAAAAAAAAAAAAGACAACAUUCCUAGUGAUCUUUCCGUGGGAAUGCGGCAAGGAGUCAGCAGGCAUAGUGAAAAUGGGCGGCGAUGGAUACUCCCAGCACUUGCUGAGCACUGCUACGCCUCAGGACUGGGACAUUCAAUAGGACAGAAGAGCUCCUUGGCACUGGAUGCCUCCGGGUCUGGUUGAGAGAGGAAUGGUUAGGAGACUGUUCUGAGGAUACGCAGACAUCAUCCAAAGCUUCCUACAUUCAGAUGAGGACAGAGGUUGGGCCAGAGCUUUGUAAGCUUGUUACCUAAGGAUGGUUCUGACCAUGUAAGCAGAUCACAGAAGCUAUUCACAGAUCAUCAUCAGCCAGAGGUGACUUCUGUUGCUUGACAAAGGGAAAUGAAAUAAUAACGCUGACCAUUUGUGGAGCACAUUCUGGCUGGAGGCAAAGGAUGCCAAGAUGGGAAAGCCACAUAAUGGAAGGAUCCUGGAUUUCAGAGCUGUCACUUGGAGGAGGGGCACCCAGUGAAGGUGUCUUAUCUAACCCACACCAUAUCUUCAUGGAGUGGCCAUAUGGAUUUGAUCCCUAUCCUUCAGAGGUGCUCAGCCUAAGGGAACACGGAUAGUAGAUUAAGCACUGACCAGGCUCAAGUUUGUACAUUCCAACUUGUUGUUUGGGCCUUGUUGGACAUAACUGAAGUCUGGAUGGCAGGGUGAAAAUUGGAUAAACAGCCACACUGACUCAGGGGGUAUAAAUCCUGCCUUCUCUCAGCCUUACAGAGGAAGAAAACCCUUUCCAAGUUUCCUCUGAUACUGGGUUUAUGCCCAAUUAUAGUUUAGGCAUGAAGAAACUGAAGCAUGGAGGAAAAACUUAGCAACUAGCCCAACGUCACACAGGCGAGCCAGCCUUGACAAUGUGCUGAUGGCAACCUAGAACAUAAGCAGAGGAGUAUACAGGACAAGAACUUGAUGGUCUCGGGAAAAUGGACAACAUGACUCAGGUGAAAAAGAUUGAUCAUCAGAUGUUUCUUAUGUAUCAACCUGAUAUUUAAAUCCAUGAAGGACAGAGACGACAAAGGCAGGUGGAAUAGAUAGAGAAGAGAUUCAAGGUCUGAGCUCUACAUUACUCAAACUGUUAGAGAUUAGGAAGAAGAGGAAGACCUGGCAAAAGAAUGUCCUGGGAUGUAGAAAGAAAACCAGAAGCUUGUGUUCUCUGGAAACCAAAUGAAGAAAGGGCUUCCAGAAGGACAGACAAAGUGUAGUGUGUCAAAGGCUCCUGAGCAAUCAGAGGAGAGCACAAAGGGGCUCACAGGACUUUGGUAUCUGGAUCACCCAGUGACACUUCCUGAUCACGAGAAACUGUCAGACCAACAGGGGCACUUUCUGAAACCAGCAGUUCUUCAGUGCCCAAAUGCAACCUUGAUGGUUUGAUUUUGGAGGAUGGCAAUUCAUUAACAGCACUCCCCAGUGAUAAAUAUGAAAACCAAUAAAACCCCCCACCCAAGGCAAUCUCUCCCAGCUCCUCGCUUUGAGUAAAGUGAGUAACCUCCAUUUCUGCCAACUCCUGUCUUGUCUGAAGCCACAUUUCCCCAGCAAUGUCACAUAUGCAUUUCUUGAUCCUGGUCAUUUCUCCUCUUGGGAGAUGAAUCAUAAAGAAAAUGAGAUCUGUGUGCCCUGGUGACUAUGGAUGCAAGAGUCUGCUGCCCUGGAGGGAACAGCUGGAAAAGUAGAUGGUGAAGACGUGUGGGGGGGAAACAGUGGAGAAGGCAUCUUUGCAGGGGAUCAAGGUGACAGAGUGAUUAGUUACACUGUUUUGACAUGUGAGAACAGGGGGUUAUAAAAAUGGAUACAGGAAGAGGGAGAGAAAGUAAGGACCAAAACAUGAAGCCAGUCAUGAAUGUUUUUACAUAAAAAGCAGCAGAUUUACGGCAAAUAUGUGAUGUUUCCACAUUUUCUGCCUCUAGUUAGCAGGGGCAGCACAAAGAGCAUUACUGUGGAGCUGAACUUUGGGUAAAAGAUUAACAGCCAGUCCUUUCUCUCCAGUGUCUGCUUCCUUCUGGGCUUGCCCUGGGGGAAAAGGAGGGCUGGCAUGGAUAUGCCUGCAGCCCUCACCCUAGAUGUUCUUCCACGCCUCUCUGUUCAUUCAUUGCUUAGUCAUUCCUCAGGCAUGGAUUGAGACCACUGUGUGCCCAGGACCGACCUGGCCUAGGAUGGACAUAGAGAUGGAAAAGGCACAGGGAGCAGGUGACAGAGACAAAUCAAGGUCAUGGAGAAUAGCAGAGUAAGAUAGAAGAUGAAGGCAGGAGAUGGGGUUCUUGAGAAAGCGAGAGCAGGACUGACCCGUGUCUGCCUCACCUGUUAUUGCUGUAGCCUCUUCUCCUUGGAGUAUCCCUCCUGCUCUUGCAUCACCUUAGGAACUUGGAUCAGAGAGGAAAGUUACGGCCUGGAUAUGUUGUAGUAGGAGGGGACAAACAUGUUUGGAGACAGAAAUGCUUGGGGAGCGGGUGUUUUUGGGGGAUGAGACUUUCCAGGUCUCUCAAUUCACACUAUGUAGGUAGUUCACUGCACAGCUUAAAUAAGAGACAACUCUCCGGAGUGGUUGGCUCUCAUCCAAAAAAUGUGUUUUGGGCCUCAGAUUUCCAACGGAAGGGCUGAAGCGUGACUGGCCUGAUGUCAACUACUGAAGUCCACCUGCCCCUGCCCUAUCAGGUGUGGAAAUGCUGGGGUUCCUCUCUCAGAACCUACUUCCUGAGAUGUCGAAAUAUACCCAAGAGUAUUUCUGGGCCUUCUCCAAUCCGAAACUGUUUAGUUUUUGUGUGUGUGUGCCUACUUGGCCACACUAGAAGACAGAGGUGGCCUGGGUGAAAUGCAGGUUUCUAGAGGCUCUCUGACAAAGCUCAGGCCACCAGCCCCAGGCCAGCCUGUGGGUAGUCCUGGCUGACAGUCACUUCAUACCUCACCUGGGCUUUUUGCCAAAUUCAAAGUGUGUGUAUAUGUGGAGUGCUGGGUUCCCACCACUGACAGUCUGUAAGUCAUUCACUUAGCUCAAUUUGUCUUACUUUCUUCUGAAAUUUCUUCCUUCUUGUUCUUUUUCCCAGGAGAAACCAGGAGAAGGCAGUCCUAGGGCAGUCUCCGGGCCAGCUUUCCCUAAUAAGAAGGCAGAGCUCCUCUUCACCCAGACUUCAGACCUAUAGAGGCAGCCUGGGGUCCCGGGAUGCCCUUGCACUCAGAGAUGUCCCCAGAGUCCUAGGGAAAUGGAGGAUAACUAGGAGGAAGCUGUUCAUGGCUGGCGAUGAGGUCUAUACCUUCUUGUCCGUCUCAGUGCUGUCUGCUAUUGAAUUUUUGUGCAGAUCACAUUAACUUAAAGCCAGUUCUCAAGAAGCUCCCCCUGCCGCCGGCAUAUCCACCAGUUGCUCCCCUUUCCUGCCAUUAAUCAGGGUCUGCUAGUUAGAGAACAAAUUCCUAUUUGUCCAAACAGUUGCCAACACCCCCACCCCAAGGUAGUUAAAUGAGGAUGAAUGGGUCAUUCUUAUUAAAAAAUGACUUAAAUUUCUCAAAUUCUAUUUAUGUUUCUUUUACAUCCCAAUUUUCUAUAGAUUUAGUGACUCCAAAUGAUAAGGUCUCAAGCUCAUAAUAAUUUAUCCCUUGGGUAACACACAAGGCUUGGUGGUAUUUCAGUAAUAUUCAUGACAACAGCAGCUGUCGUGCUAAUAAGGACUGAUGUCACCAGAGCACUUUCUAUGUGCCAAGCAUGGUGCACAACACUUUACAUACAUUAUGUCAUUUAAUUUUCACAAAA